UGCCGGGUCAUCUAAUGGUAGGAUACAUGCCUCUGGAGCAUGGAAUCUUGGUUCGAGUCCAAGCCCGGCAG
RNAcentral lists this transfer RNA (71 nucleotides) under Candidatus Nealsonbacteria bacterium CG09_land_8_20_14_0_10_42_14. RNAcentral's name for it is "tRNA-Gln". It matches the Rfam family "tRNA". Rfam says of the family: Transfer RNA (tRNA) molecules are approximately 80 nucleotides in length. Their secondary structure includes four short double-helical elements and three loops (D, anti-codon, and T loops). Further hydrogen bonds mediate the characteristic L-shaped molecular structure. tRNAs have two regions of fundamental functional importance: the anti-codon, which is responsible for specific mRNA codon recognition, and the 3' end, to which the tRNAs corresponding amino acid is attached (by aminoacyl-tRNA synthetases). tRNAs cope with the degeneracy of the genetic code in two manners: having more than one tRNA (with a specific anti-codon) for a particular amino acid; and 'wobble' base-pairing, i.e. permitting non-standard base-pairing at the 3rd anti-codon position. The record is from RNAcentral. Lineage: Bacteria; Candidatus Nealsoniibacteriota.